Manis pentadactyla (Chinese pangolin) is the source of this 105-nucleotide small nuclear RNA. The record is from RefSeq and is a predicted model, not a curated record. NCBI's taxonomy places the organism in Eukaryota, Metazoa, Chordata, Mammalia, Pholidota, Manidae.
GUGCUUGCUUUAGCUGCACAUAUACUAAAAUUGGAACAAUAAAGAGAAGUAGCAUGGCCCCUAUGCAAGAAUGACAUGCAAACUCAUUAAGUGUUCCUUAUUUUG